Molecule: transfer RNA, 62 nt
Filed under: marine eukaryotic metagenome
Rfam family: tRNA
About the family: Transfer RNA (tRNA) molecules are approximately 80 nucleotides in length. Their secondary structure includes four short double-helical elements and three loops (D, anti-codon, and T loops).
Source: RNAcentral
UGUAGCUCAGUUGGUAGAGCGGAUGACUGUUAAUCAUUAGGUCGCAAGUUCGAAUCUUGCCG